This 1139-nucleotide long non-coding RNA is filed under the name Zonotrichia albicollis (white-throated sparrow). Its description in RNAcentral is "lncRNA (ENSZALG00000013517.1)". Lineage: Eukaryota; Metazoa; Chordata; Aves; Passeriformes; Passerellidae. The record is from RNAcentral.
CGCCGCGCGCCCCUCUCGCCGCUCCGCAUCGCGGGCGAGCCGCUGUCCGCUACCGCCGCUCGGUCCCCGCCGCGGCUCCUCGCCCGCACCGCCGCCCCCCCGCCCCGGCGCGGCCCGGGCCGGCCGCCACCCGCUCCGCGGCGCCGGGCGGCUGUGGGGGAGGGCAUGUAAACAAAUGGGGUUUUAUAGCUACCUCACUCGAGUGCCGUGUGCAUCUCCCUCUCCGCUCGGUACCAAACCGCCGCGGCGCCUCCUCCUCCUCCUCCUGCCGCUCCGCCGGCGCUAUUCACAGAGCCGGCUACGCCGCGCUCGCCCUGCACACGCGGCCCCGCAGCCCGCGCUGCCCAAUGCGCAGCCAUUUCCUCCAGCGCUACGAAAGUGGCGUAGCGGCCCUCCCCGCCCGCCCCUCGCUGCGGCGGCUCCGCGCACGACCCGGCCAUGGCCGCCGGGCCCGGGAGCGCCGGAGGGAGCGCCGCGGGCCCGGGGCAGCGCAGCCAUGUCCCGGCCGAGGGACCCCGGCCCGGGCUGCUCGAGGGGAGCGGGGCCCGCGGGACCGGGGCCGAGCUGCUGCCUCUGCAGCCGCCUGGGGAGACGGUCCGUCAGCAACAACGGGGUAUUCGUACCUUCCUAUGGAGGUACCUUCCUACGGGGGUACCUUUCGGGGCCGAGUUGUUUCAGGCUCUGAAGAAGACUUUUGCUCCUUCAGUGGGUCACUGGGACCUUGCUUGUGUGAAGAUACCUGCCUGAUGUCUGCUCCCAGCAGUGUUUCAGCAGCCGCCUCACAUGCCCUGCUUUGCUCCAGAGCAGGCUUAUCUCUGCACUCAGCAACACACUGCACUCAUCUGAGACAGACACUAUCUUCUCAUUUGAGUGCAGCCCAUUCACAUUACGGAAUGAAUGCUCUCUACAGCACAUAUCCUGGUGGGAGGUCUCCUAUCGGCUCUCGGAGCUUGUUUGCUCAUUUUGAUGAGCUGCUAAUUCUGUUUGAUCUGGGGAACAGGCACAGCAACAAGAUACACACAGUGCCCCCAGCACCAAGUCAAGACAGAGGACACCCAACAGAAGCUUUGGAAGGAAGUGAAAGAUUUUGGCUGACUUCCACUGUCCAGUCCCAUGACAAGAACUGCUCCACACAGUGA